RNAcentral lists this ribosomal RNA (427 nucleotides) under uncultured bacterium. RNAcentral describes it as "bacterial SSU rRNA". It matches the Rfam family "Bacterial small subunit ribosomal RNA", at positions 355 to 775 of the family's 1533-position model. The record is from RNAcentral.
UCGAGAAUUUUUCUCAAUGGGGGAAACCCUGAAGGAGCGACGCCGCGUGGAGGAUGAAGGUCUUCGGGUUGUAAACUCCUGUCAUUUGGGAACAAGGUGUGCGCGUUAACUGCGCGCGCAUUGAUAGUACCAGAAGAGGAAGAGACGGCUAACUCUGUGCCAGCAGCCGCGGUAAUACAGAGGUCUCAAGCGUUGUUCGGAUUCAUUGGGCGUAAAGGGUGCGUAGGCGGCGCGGUAAGUCGGAUGUGAAAUCUCGGAGCUUAACUUCGAAACUGCAUUCGAUACUGCCGUGCUUGAGGACUGGAGAGGAGACUGGAAUUUACGGUGUAGCGGUGAAAUGCGUAGAUAUCGUAAGGAAGACCAGUGGCGAAGGCGGGUCUCUGGACAGUUCCUGACGCUGAGGCACGAAGGCCAGGGGAGCAAACGG